Molecule: ribosomal RNA, 770 nt
Filed under: Streptococcus anginosus
Lineage: Bacteria; Bacillati; Bacillota; Bacilli; Lactobacillales; Streptococcaceae
Description: bacterial SSU rRNA
Rfam family: Bacterial small subunit ribosomal RNA
Source: RNAcentral
GACGAAGCGGCGGCGUGCAUAUACAUGCCAAGUAGGGCGCACAGUUUAUACCGUAGCCAGCUACACCAUAGACUCUGAGUUGAGAAAGGGUGAGUAACGCGUAGGUAACCUACCUCUCAGAGGGGGAUAACUAUGGAAACGAUAGCUAAUACCGCAUAACAGUAUGUAACACCUCUCAGAUGCUUGAAAGAUGCAAUUGCAUCGAUAGUGGAUGGACCUGCGUUGUAUUAGCUAGUAGGUAGGGUAAAGGCCUACCUAGGCAACGAUACAUAGCCGACCUGAGAGGGUGAUCGGCCACACUGGGACUGAGACACGGCCCAGACUCCUACGGGAGGCAGCAGUAGGGAAUCUUAGGCAAUGGGGGGAACCCUGACCGAGCAACGCCGCGUGAGUGAAGAAGGUUUUCGGAUCGUAAAGCUCUGUUGUUAAGGAAGAACGAGUGUGAGAAUGGAAAGUUCAUGCUGUGACGGUACUUAACCAGAAAGGGACGGCUAACUACGUGCCAGCAGCCGCGGUAAUACGUAAGUCCCGAGCGUUGUCCGGAUUUAUUGGGCGUAAAGCGAGCGCAGGCGGUUAGAAAAGUCUGAAGUGAAAGGCAGUGGCUCAACCAUUGUAGGCUUUGGAAACUGUUUAACUUGAGUGCAGAAGGGGAGAGUGGAAUUCCAUGUGUAGCGGUGAAAUGCGUAGAUAUAUGGAGGAACACCGGUGGCGAAAGCGGCUCUCUGGUCUGUAACUGACGCUGAGGCUCGAAAGCGUGGGGAGCGAACAGG